AGCGAACGUUUGCGGCGGGCCUAACACAUGCAAGUCGAACGCACUAGCAAUAGUGAGUGGCGCACGGGUGCGUAACACGUGGGUAAUCAACCCUUCAGCCUGGGAUAACGACUCGAAAGGGUCGCUAAUACCGGAUACGGCGCGAGAGGCUUCGGCUUCUCACGAGAAAGCCACGCAAGGGGCACUGAAGGACGAGCCUGCGGCCCAUCAGCUAGUUGGUGAGGUAAGAGCUCACCAAGGCUAAGACGGGUAGCUGGUCUGAGAGGAUGAUCAGCCACACUGGGACUGAGACACGGCCCAGACUCCUACGGGAGGCAGCAGUAGGGAAUCUUCCGCAAUGGACGAAAGUCUGACGGAGCAACGCCGCGUGAGUGAUGAAGGUUUUCGGAUCGUAAAACUCUGUUGUUAGGGAAGAACAAGUGCCGUUCGAAAGGGCGGCACCUUGACGGUACCUAACGAGAAAGCCACGGCUAACUACGUGCCAGCAGCCGCGGUAAUGU
RNAcentral lists this ribosomal RNA (500 nucleotides) under uncultured bacterium. RNAcentral describes it as "bacterial SSU rRNA". It matches the Rfam family "Bacterial small subunit ribosomal RNA", at positions 29 to 526 of the family's 1533-position model. The record is from RNAcentral.